This 847-nucleotide ribosomal RNA is filed under the name Halomonas sp. MARC2PPNM. Its description in RNAcentral is "bacterial SSU rRNA". It matches the Rfam family "Bacterial small subunit ribosomal RNA", at positions 384 to 1224 of the family's 1533-position model. Lineage: Bacteria; Pseudomonadati; Pseudomonadota; Gammaproteobacteria; Oceanospirillales; Halomonadaceae. The record is from RNAcentral.
UGAUCCAGCCAUGCCGCGUGUGUGAAGAAGGCCUUCGGGUUGUAAAGCACUUUCAGUGAGGAAGAAAGCCUUGAGGUUAAUACCCUCGAGGGAGGACAUCACUCACAGAAGAAGCACCGGCUAACUCCGUGCCAGCAGCCGCGGUAAUACGGAGGGUGCGAGCGUUAAUCGGAAUUACUGGGCGUAAAGCGCGCGUAGGCGGCUUGAUAAGCCGGUUGUGAAAGCCCCGGGCUCAACCUGGGAACGGCAUCCGGAACUGUCAGGCUAGAGUGCAGGAGAGGAAGGUAGAAUUCCCGGUGUAGCGGUGAAAUGCGUAGAGAUCGGGAGGAAUACCAGUGGCGAAGGCGGCCUUCUGGACUGACACUGACGCUGAGGUGCGAAAGCGUGGGUAGCAAACAGGAUUAGAUACCCUGGUAGUCCACGCCGUAAACGAUGUCGACUAGCCGUUGGGCUCCUUGAGAGCUUUGUGGCGCAGUUAACGCGAUAAGUCGACCGCCUGGGGAGUACGGCCGCAAGGUUAAAACUCAAAUGAAUUGACGGGGGCCCGCACAAGCGGUGGAGCAUGUGGUUUAAUUCGAUGCAACGCGAAGAACCUUACCUACCCUUGACAUCGAGAGAACUUUCCAGAGAUGGAUUGGUGCCUUCGGGAGCUCUCAGACAGGUGCUGCAUGGCUGUCGUCAGCUCGUGUUGUGAAAUGUUGGGUUAAGUCCCGUAACGAGCGCAACCCUUGUCCCUAUUUGCCAGCGAUUCGGUCGGGAACUCUAGGGAGACUGCCGGUGACAAACCGGAGGAAGGUGGGGACGACGUCAAGUCAUCAUGGCCCUUACGGGUAGGGCUACACACGUG